AUUGAACGCUGGCGGCAGGCCUAACACAUGCAAGUCGAGCGGCGCGUCGGACGGGGGAGUACGGCCGAGGGAUCUGCAUGGGGGUGGGGGAUACAGUCGGGAAACGGGCGCUAAUACCGCAUACUAUCAGAUGAGCCUAGGUGGGAUUAGCUAGCUGGUGGGGUAAAGGCCUACCAAGGCGACGAUGCGUAACUGGUCUGAGAGGAUGAUCAGUCACACUGGAACUGAGACACGGUCCAGACUCCUACGGGAGGCAGCAGUGGGGAAUAUUGGACAAUGGGCGAAAGCCUGAUCCAGCCAUGCCGCGUGUGUGAAGAAGGUCUUCGGAUUGUAAAGCACUUUAAGUUGGGAGGCGGUAUCAACAGAAUAAGCACCGGCUAACUUCGUGCCAGCAGCCGCGGUAAUAC
This 407-nucleotide ribosomal RNA is filed under the name uncultured bacterium. Its description in RNAcentral is "partial 16S ribosomal RNA". It matches the Rfam family "Bacterial small subunit ribosomal RNA", at positions 29 to 526 of the family's 1533-position model. The record is from RNAcentral.